CCUACGGGUGGCAGCAGUGAGGAAUAUUGGUCAAUGGACGCAAGUCUGAACCAGCCAGGCCGCGUGCAGGAAGACGGCUCUAGGAGUUGUAAACUGCUUUUGUACGAGGGUAAAUCCCGAUACGUGUAUCGGGUUGAAAGUAUCGUACGAAUAAGGAUCGGCUAACUCCGUGCCAGCAGCCGCGGUAAUACGGAGGAUUCAAGCGUUAUCCGGAUUUAUUGGGUUUAAAGGGUGCGUAGGCGGUUCGAUAAGUUAGAGGUGAAAUCCCGGGGCUCAACUCCGGCACUGCCUCUGAUACUGUCGAGCUAGAGUUUAGUUGCGGUAGGCGGAAUGUCUGGUGUAGCGGUGAAAUGCAUAGAGAUCAUGCAGAACACCGAUUGCGAAGGCAGCUUAC
This 394-nucleotide ribosomal RNA is filed under the name uncultured bacterium. RNAcentral describes it as "partial 16S ribosomal RNA". It matches the Rfam family "Bacterial small subunit ribosomal RNA", at positions 338 to 729 of the family's 1533-position model. The record is from RNAcentral.